Long non-coding RNA from Nymphaea colorata (pocket water lily), 2541 nucleotides. RefSeq lists it as uncharacterized. NCBI's taxonomy places the organism in Eukaryota, Viridiplantae, Streptophyta, Magnoliopsida, Nymphaeales, Nymphaeaceae. The transcript has 3 exons. The record is from RefSeq and is a predicted model, not a curated record.
AAGACCCUGAGCCCUCGACCUCUGCCCCCAUCUCCUUCUCCCCGAGCCCUCGACCUCUGCCCCCAUCUCCUUCUCCUCCACCUCCCCUGCCUUUCUCCUCUUCUCCACCCCCGACCUUACUUUCUCCUCCAUCUCCGCCCUCAUCUACGCCCCCGAGCUGCCCUAUUCCUAUUUCUCUCCUUCUUCUCUGCCGCCCGAGCUGCCCUAGCCGUCACCCUGUAGCCCCUUCUUGUCUCUCCAUCUUCCUGUGAAUUUUGAGGUAGCCAUGGAAGGUUACAAGUUCAGUGGGCUGUGGGGGCACAGCUAAGGCUAACCUGAUUCUCUCCACAUGCAUCCUUCAAAGGGCGUGGACCUCCAUCUCCGAGCUCCAACAAUCGGGCAAACUCCCCUUCAUCGUCAACGAUCGUUUCCGCAGCUUCACAAUCGUAGCUUUUAAUGACUUGCAGAACCAGACGCAAGACCUCCACCUCCUCUCACCCAUUCUUGCUCCCCUGCAGCCAACCCAUCCCGACUUCGGUUUCCUCAUCAGCAAGGACAAUCCCUCCAUCUCCCUCCACGCCUCCCCUCUCUCCACCUUCCUCCGCCUCCUCUGCACCACCGACCUCAAAGCCCAGUCCGCAGCAACUAUGGGGAGAACCACUGUAGUCCUUCCACCAUUUUUCUUCUGCAACUGUUCUCUUCAAGUAGUCUUCUUGAACAAAGAAUUCUGUUACAAUGUAAAAAAUUAGGUAAUUUUCCUUUUAUUAAAUUCAUUCAGAUUCUCUGCUUUGUGCGUCAGUGAGUAGUAGUGCUUCUUAUGCGUUCUGCACGUCCGCAUUUGAGUCAGACCACACCGACAAUUUACCAGAGGGUUGAAUGAUAUCUAAGUUAAGGGACAGCAAGUAUCACCAACAGGAACAACUAAAUAGCACCUGCCUGUAGAUACAAGAAGACCCCCCGAAGUACACAACUCAUUGGCAGCAGAAACAUGCCGGUAAAGUGGUUUGCAACUUAUUUUUCUGCUUCUUAGCAGAACUCAGAGAAGCAAAAAAACUCGUCUUAAAGGAUGGUAAACAAGAACGGAAGCAGAGUCUGGGAAAAAGCAGAUAAGCUGACGAUAUUAUCCUAAUACAAGCUUGACAAAGAAAUUAAAGCAGUGAAUUCUCAGCUACAUAAUAUUUUAACUGACAAAUGGAAUUCUAUUGAAAAUAAAACAGCCUUCAUGGAACUAUCAGGUUAAACCUCUUUGUCCUUAUGUACUGCAGAAGAAACUUGCAGGAUUUAUAAGUGAAACACUGAAACAGGUCUGUAGUUGUAUUUGUAGAAAAUAUGAGGACAACAAAUGUUAUUUUGAAGAAAAUCAAAUGUUUUUAAGUAGAUUGAUUAAAGAUCCAAUGGUUUUUGUAGUUGUUUUUCUGAAAAACGAAAUCUGAAACACAUCAUUUGCGUAGCAAUCUGUGGAAACUGGGGAAUGAAUUGCAACUUUCUGGAAUGAGUUGAAAUCUAAUUGGAUCUGAACCCGUCUACCCAUGCACAUAAACAUCAUUCAGUUGUUUAUCCUAUUUUAUUAUUUUCAAAAGCUUCCACUAGUCAAAGUUUAAGCUUAUGCAGUCUUAAUUUAUGCUUUGAUGAAAGAAUGUAAGGGUCUAUCAUAAAUAUGAAUGUAUAUUUGAAAGUUGCUUCUCAGAACAGAUGAGACAUAAAACUUGUAAAAUGCUUCAUUAGAUCGUCUAAAGUUUGGUUGUUUGAAAGAUUUUACCAUGUCUAUAUUCUCUACAUGGACAGGCUUUUCUUCUGACUUACGGCAGUAUGCUUCUUUUGACUGGCAAAGAAAUUUGGGGUUAAUGAGUCUAGAAUUAUGUUUCCAAAGUUGUAGCAGAGGAAGUUUAAAGGACAGUUUGGCCAUGGUUGGGGAAAAGAGAACGUUAGGUUAACAACAUCUAAUUGCAAAGCAUGGCCUUGAAAUUUUAAGUGGCCUUUUACUUUUAACCAGUCUUCACCAGGAACACGUCUCAGUGUGUAUUAUACAUUCUCCCAAGCACAUGGCUAAUGGAUUCAACUUCAUUUUCAAACUGAAGGAGAAAGUUCAAAACCCAUGCUGCCCCAUGCUGCCUCUCUUGGAAAAUCUUGUUGAUGCCUGCCAAAAGUAAACUUCUUGUUGAUAGAAAGCAAGAUUGUUAUCUUGCUACUAACAUCACAAGGAGCUGACAAAAAAUGUCUUUACAAGCAGAUUUCAAAAGGAGGGAAGCAGAAGUUGGGAACAGACGCCUGACCUACAACACAACACCGACAUUAUGUCAUGAACGGCAGCUGUUCCAUUCUCCAACUUUAUUUCUAAAGAACCAAAUUGGUUGGAGACAAGGAGGCGAAGGGUAGCGUGAAGCUGGUGCGUGAUAAUCACAUUCACGAGGACAUCAACGCGAAUGUGUCAAUGGAAUAAGUUAAAAGAAGACAGAGCAAUGGUUCCUUCUAAUUCGUCCUUUCUUUCUCGUGCCUUUCAAUUUGUACCCACAUGAAACUCAAUCGACAAAGAGCCUGAAUAAUCCAUUCCUGCGCAUUGAA